GGAUGUGAGGGUGAUCUAACUAUAACAUAUGUCAUCCCAUUGAUCACCAGGGUUGAUUCAGCUGAUCUGGCUAGCCAGGUGAAUGUCCCCUCCCCCCCUCACCACUCCAUGUGUGUCCCUCCUGAAGCUGCAUCAUCACUCGAAGAGGAUGACUAUCCCUUGUCGAGGAGGACCGUUCUUUGCUCAAAGGCAUAUGAAUAGCUGUGCUUCUCUGCUCGAACCUCCAAACGAGCUCUCAAAAUUAAUCCUAUGCCCACUAUAACUGUUGAUGGAAUUUGGGUAAAAAACAUGUGACCAAAGUUGCAAUUUUACUUCUGAGUUUUGGUUUACUU
Molecule: small nuclear RNA, 332 nt
Filed under: Cebus imitator (Panamanian white-faced capuchin)
Lineage: Eukaryota; Metazoa; Chordata; Mammalia; Primates; Cebidae
Description: 7SK RNA (ENSCCAG00000009422.1)
Rfam family: 7SK RNA
About the family: 7SK was discovered as an abundant small nuclear RNA in the mid-70s but a possible function has only recently been suggested. Two independent studies have found that 7SK RNA binds the CDK9/cyclin T complex (known as elongation factor P-TEFb). P-TEFb activates transcription by phosphorylating the C-terminal domain of RNA polymerase II.
Source: RNAcentral